This 415-nucleotide ribosomal RNA is filed under the name uncultured bacterium. RNAcentral describes it as "bacterial SSU rRNA". It matches the Rfam family "Bacterial small subunit ribosomal RNA", at positions 340 to 749 of the family's 1533-position model. The record is from RNAcentral.
UACGGAAGGCAGCAGUGGGGAAUAUUGCACAAUGGGCGCAAGCCUGAUGCAGCCAUGCCGCGUGUAUGAAGAAGGCCUUCGGGUUGUAAAGUACUUUCAGUCGUGAGGAAGGUGUUAAGGUUAAUAACCUUAGCAAUUGACGUUAGCGACAGAAGAAGCACCGGCUAACUCCGUGCCAGCAGCCGCGGUAAUACGGAGGGUGCGAGCGUUAAUCGGAAUUACUGGGCGUAAAGGGCACGCAGGCGGUUAAUUAAGUUGGAUGUGAAAUCCCCGGGCUUAACCUGGGAAUGGCAUUCAAGACUGGUUAGCUAGAGUCUUGUAGAGGGGGUAGAAUUCCAUGUGUAGCGGUGAAAUGCGUAGAGAUGUGGAGGAAUACCGGUGGCGAAGGCGGCCCCUGGACAAAGGCUGACGCUCA